This 253-nucleotide ribosomal RNA is filed under the name uncultured bacterium. Its description in RNAcentral is "partial 16S ribosomal RNA". It matches the Rfam family "Bacterial small subunit ribosomal RNA", at positions 524 to 776 of the family's 1533-position model. The record is from RNAcentral.
UACGGAGGGGGCUAGCGUUGUUCGGAAUUACUGGGCGUAAAGCGCACGUAGGUGGCUUUGUAAGUUCGAGGUGAAAGCCCGGGGCUCAACUCCGGAAUUGCCUUUAAGACUGCAACGCUAGAACGUCGGAGAGGUAAGUGGAAUUCCGAGUGUAGAGGUGAAAUUCGUAGAUAUUCGGAAGAACACCAGUGGCGAAGGCGACUUACUGGACGACUGUUGACACUGAGGUGCGAAAGCGUGUGGAGCAAACAGG